RNAcentral lists this long non-coding RNA (1505 nucleotides) under Rattus norvegicus (Norway rat). RNAcentral's name for it is "long non-coding RNA NONRATT031806". Lineage: Eukaryota; Metazoa; Chordata; Mammalia; Rodentia; Muridae. The record is from RNAcentral.
GAGAGGAGAGAACAGGAGAGGAGAGGAGAGGAGAGGAGAGGACAGGGUUUCUCUGUGUAGCCCUAGCUGUCCUGGAUCUCACUCUGUAGACCAGGCUAGCCUUGAACUCAGAGAGCCACCUGCCUCCGCCUCUGCCUCCUGAAUGCUGAUAUCAAAGGCGCCACCACUGCCUGACUGAUCUUAAAGUUAACCAGGAGCUCGGAAUGUACCUGUACAGUGUCUGUCUCUACACAAAGCCCUGGAUUUGACCGCUAGCCCCAGAUAGUCCAGGCAUACUUGUCAUCCCAGCACUUGGGAGACUGACUAGGUGGGAGGAUGAAGGAGAGUUCAAGGCCAGCCUGAGCUACAUACUGAGAACCUGUCUCAAAACGGACGGGAAAGGAGGAAUACCACCUCUGCUGAAGAGACAGGCAUCCACCCAGGAUGAGCCGACCAAACUUUAUGGCAUAAAAGAGCACAGCCAAGAUUGCCUUAUGGCCUUACCCAGAAGUCUUCAGGGUACGAGCCCUCCUACGAUAGGUACUCGUAGGAGACCUGGACCGGCUCAGAGGGUCCAGCGGGUGCCUCACCUGUCAUCAUUCCACCCCCAUCCCACCUCCGUCUCCUCUUCUGCCCUUUCCCUCAGGUCUCAGCCCAGCCUUCUUGUUUUAUCCUAUCCAGGGAGUAGCCAGAUGUCUGCGUUUGGUGUUGCACCCCUGGCAGCUGCCAGUCAACCCAACAGCCUUGCAGAUGUGGGUGGCCUCCUGGAACCCAGGAUGGCUGCUGGAGGUCUCCCUGGCAGUGUUUUCGGGAUGCCCAGCCAGGUUCCUGCCCUACAGUCGGCUGUGCCAGGGGUUGGCGGCAGCACAGGGCUCCCCUUUGGAGGUGAGUCCUACCUGUGGAGACCCAGAAGGGGAGGUGGGAGAAGCACCCCGAGACUGAGAGAACUCAAACCAUCUUUUUCUCUAACCUCUCCCCCCUCCUCUCUCUCUCUCUCUGUGAGCAGCCUUCACCAAUCCCUUCACCACCCCUGCCCAACCCCAGCUGCCUUCCACCAACCCAUUCCAGCCCAAUGGUAUAGCCUCAGGUAAGUCCCCAGAACCGAUUCUACGUUCUUUAGAGUACUGGCUCUCCUCGACCUAUGUCUCUCACUAACCAAAGAGUAGACAGCAUCCUGCUCCUCCCCCACCACUGCCCGCCAACCCAGGACAGUCCCAUCUGCAAAUCCAAGCCACCUAGUGGUCUAAACAUAGAAGCAUCCAUGCCACAAUGAACAGAAAGUCACAGAAAAAGUGCCACGUGGUGCUGUGCCCCUGUAACACCAGUACUGCUGAAGAGAGGAUCAUCACAGGUUCAAGGACAGGCGGGGUACAUGGUAGGGUCCGGGCCAGCCUGGUCUACAUAGUGAGACUCUGUCUCAAAAAGAAAAGAUUUAAAGGAAGAAAGGAAGGAAGUCAAGAAAGAAUUGGGUGAGUGGAGGAGAGGAAGGGAGGGGGAGGGAGGCAUGCCUUUCCCCCAAGUCGGUU